GACGAACGCUGGCGGCGUGCUUAACACAUGCAAGUCGAACGGAAAGGCGCCUCUCUUGUUGGUUGCUCGAGUGGCGAACGGGUGAGUAACACGUGAGUAACCUGCCCUUCACUUUGGGAUAACUUCAGGAAACUGGGGCGAAUAUCCUAUAGGAUCUCCUGCUUCAUUGGGUGGGUUGGAAAGGUACGGCGGUUGGGUAUGUACUCGCGGCUGAUCAGCUUGUUGGUGGGGUAGUGGCUUACCACGGCUUGGACGGGUAGCCGGCCUGAGAGGGUGAGCGGCCACGUUGGGACUGAGAUACGACGCAGCCUCGUACAGGAGGCAGCAGUGGGGAAGAUUGCACAAUGGCCGGGCGCCUGAUGGAGCGGCGCCCGGUGCGGGAUGACGGCCUUCGGGUUGUGAACCGCUUUCGCCUGUGACGAGGCGUGAGUGACGGUAGUGGGUUAAGAAGCACCGGCUAACUACGUG
Molecule: ribosomal RNA, 468 nt
Filed under: uncultured bacterium
Lineage: Bacteria
Description: partial 16S ribosomal RNA
Rfam family: Bacterial small subunit ribosomal RNA
Source: RNAcentral